Molecule: long non-coding RNA, 1479 nt
Organism: Homo sapiens (human)
Lineage: Eukaryota; Metazoa; Chordata; Mammalia; Primates; Hominidae
Exons: 4
Source: RefSeq, a predicted model, not a curated record
AAAGUAUGCUGCAAUUUGAGAGUAAAACAUUCAGCGCCUAGUAAGUUUGUUGAAUAAAUGAAUGAAUGAAUAAGAAAAAGAAAGACACUGGAACAGAAACGGAAGAGCAAAGUUCAAAAGAAAAGAGAAUUUUUAGGCACUGCCAAGAUCUGCACAAAAGUCACAGAGAAAGACACAUGAGAAAAGGUCACUUGAUUUGGCAAGAAGUAGGUCAUCGGCAGAAUUUAGAGACACUUCUGUAAUGUGGUGGUAACAGAAUCCAAAUAGAAGGGAUUUAAGAUAAGAAUGAGUGGAUGGGAAGUGCAUGCGGCAAAUGGCAACUAUGUAUUUGAAAGGACUGGCUGUGAACUGAGGAGAGAGAGAGAGUUCAAUUUCUAGAAGGGAAAGCAAGUUCUACAAGCAUAUGAAUGAAGCCAUUAGCAAAGGAAAGAGAAAGACCUGAAUAACAAAUUUAGCUGAUUCUGAGGCAGAUUCUACUUCCUGUGUGCAGAAAAUUUACGAAGAAGCCAUGAAUCUCUGGAAACAUUCUGGAAACCUAGGAUUGAAGUAUAAAAUCUAUGGAGUUUCCUUCUGUCGCUGGCUGGAGUGCAAUGGCAUGAUCUUGGCUCACCACAACCUCCAGCUCCCGGAUUCAAGAGAUUCUCCUGCCUCAGCCUCCCAAGUAGCUGGGACUACAGAAUCAUGUUGUGAAGGUCAAGAACCGUGAAGAUGCUGAAAUUUUUACCCUACUUACGAAACCAACAUGUUAGUUCCGUGGAUGGAGUUCCACGAUGCUGGAAGAAGACAUGAACUCCUGGGUCAGAGAUAAAGGACUUUACUUAAGGAAGAGCAAGCAGCGUGAGUUUUGUAUUAGCAUCAGUUCUUGUCUCUUAAGUCCCAUGGGGGUGAUGCAGAUGGGCUCAGAUGGAUGCCUGCAUAUACACUGUAAUGGGUUGCAUUAUAGGAGAACCCUGAACUUGGGGAAACUGAAUUGUUUAUAUUGGGCAGUAAGUAAACCUGCCUUUUCCUCUGAAAGAGACACUACCUUCUUUAUAUUAGACAAUAAAUUAAACUGCUCUUUGCUGCAGAGGAGGAUACCAUAUUGUCUAAGGCUGUUCACUAUACAGACAUCCCUGAUAAGACAGUCCAGAACAAAGGGCAAUCAGUGUCUCUCUUAUCUUUUAAUUUUUAAAGCAUUCACUUAUUAAUUUAAAAAUCUCUGUUAUACCUGCAGUACUCCCACUUCUCAUUCCUAGUAGCUUAUUUUUACUUCAUCACUUUUUCCCUUAUUCAAUCUUACCAGAGGUUUGUUCAGUUUGUCAAUGUUUCCAAAUACCAACACUUCAUUUUAUUGCUUCUGUACUUGACUUUUUUUUUUUAUUUCAUAGCUUUCUGUUCUUUUUGAUAUUAUUUUCCUUUUCCAACUUUCAUCGGGUUCAUUUAUUAUUUAGUUAUGGUAGUUAAAAUUUUUUAUGAUACCUUUCUCUUUAACUCCUGAAU